GGCACCUUACUGGCCGCGGUAGGGGGUGCGGGCAGCCAAUGGCGAACAACGUUGCGGGCGCUGCAAUACUCCUCGGGCCCCGCCGCGCACCCGCACCUGCCCAUCAUGGCUGCCCCCUCCCGCGCACGAGCAGUCGAGCACGAGGUAGCGUAGCGUCUGCCGCCACCAACCGGAUGGAUCGGCGGCCACCGCCAUAUACGGCGGCGCGCAACGCAGAAUGUGUCCAGGCC
RNAcentral lists this long non-coding RNA (230 nucleotides) under Setaria italica (foxtail millet). RNAcentral's name for it is "long non-coding RNA (SITA_LNC005340)". The record is from RNAcentral. Lineage: Eukaryota; Viridiplantae; Streptophyta; Magnoliopsida; Poales; Poaceae.